GAUUGUCCCACUGCAUUCCAUCCUGGGCAACAGAGCAAGAGUCUGUCAAAAUAAAAAAGAAGAAAAAAAGAAGAAAGAUUUUAAUUAUUUUUAUCAACAAUUAUACAUUUUCAGUCUACUGUUAUGAAUUGCCACAACUUGGAGGCUUAGAACAACACAAAUUAGUACUCUCACAGUCCUGAAGGCUACAGCUCUGCAAUCAAGAUAUCAGCAAGGCCAUCAUUCCACUAAGGCUCUAAGGAAGAAUCCAUUUUUGCCUCUUCCUGCUUCUGGGAUGCAUCCACUUUAUUAGACGGCAAACUAGAAAAUGCUUCCUACAGUCGCCACAUAAAAAGAAUUAUCAUCAUGCCAAACAAAUUAUCAUCGGUGCCAAUGAUGUGAGAAUUGAGCAGAAAGAGCAAUGCAACAGGUUUUCUUUUCUGGCCAUGCCAAGGUGGAAGGUGAUCUUAAUUGAAGAAAGAAUGCUCAAAGUAGGCAAUGCUAUGUCUUAUCAACAAAUACUUACCAGCAUGUACAUUGCUGCUCAGAAACACAUUUGAUGAUGGAUCAGAAGUUUCCUCCUAUUUAAUGUGGUGAUAAAAAUAACUUCUAAGUAAUUCAGUUCAUAGAACCAUGAAGGACUGGGUUUGAGAUUAUGCUUUGAAUACCAUAAAGUGAUGAACACAGAGACUGAGAAAAAAAGAGGAGGAGAAGGAGUGGAAGGAUAAAUGUAUGUAAGAAAAAAAGAAGCAAAUAAAUAUUAUAGCUGAUUCUUUCUUCAUAA
This is a long non-coding RNA of Homo sapiens (human), 763 nucleotides long. Ensembl annotates it as long intergenic non-protein coding RNA 2713. The record is from Ensembl. Lineage: Eukaryota; Metazoa; Chordata; Mammalia; Primates; Hominidae.